This 68-nucleotide transfer RNA is filed under the name Anomaloglossus degranvillei (Degranville's rocket frog). Its description in RNAcentral is "tRNA-Phe". It matches the Rfam family "tRNA". From Rfam's summary of the family: Transfer RNA (tRNA) molecules are approximately 80 nucleotides in length. Lineage: Eukaryota; Metazoa; Chordata; Amphibia; Anura; Aromobatidae. The record is from RNAcentral.
GUUUAGAUAGCUUAACCAAAGCAUGGCACUGAAAAUGCUAAGAUGAAUCCUAAAAAAUUCUCCAGACA